Molecule: long non-coding RNA, 363 nt
Organism: Cicer arietinum (chickpea)
Lineage: Eukaryota; Viridiplantae; Streptophyta; Magnoliopsida; Fabales; Fabaceae
Source: RefSeq, a predicted model, not a curated record
CAUCUCUUCACCUCCACUCAUUCAAUUCACUUUUUUUUUUUGUCUCUCACUCAAAGAACAAAAAGAAAACACUUUUACUCACUCACUAAUAAAAACACAAAAACACUUAUCUUCUUCCUUCCAAAUCCUUUCAUCUUUCGAACAAGACUUAUGCCACAGGUUCUUAGAGUUUUGAGUUAAGCAGGAGUUGCAAUAACGUCGAAGACGUGGCAAAAUGAUGAUUUGGAUUGGCGAUCGGAAAUAGUGAGUUUCAAGCUCGACUUAGGGUUUUAUUUAUUUUCACAUCCUUCUUGGAAUGUUGUUGUUGCAAUGGAAAUUCUUUAUUUGAAACAGUAGUGACUAUUUUUUUUUUUAUAAUGCGAA